This 99-nucleotide non-coding RNA is filed under the name Oryza sativa (Asian cultivated rice). RNAcentral describes it as "miR529a stem-loop (osa-MIR529a)". Its record names the gene osa-MIR529a. It matches the Rfam family "MIR529 microRNA precursor family", at positions 16 to 114 of the family's 131-position model. RNAcentral also lists the same sequence under 2 other names. Lineage: Eukaryota; Viridiplantae; Streptophyta; Magnoliopsida; Poales; Poaceae. The record is from miRBase by way of RNAcentral.
GAAGAAGAGAGAGAGUACAGCCUUAGUUCAGAUCACAUAUGACUAUCUUUUGCGAGUCUGAUCGAUACUCUGAUGAAGGCUGUACCCUCUCUCUUCUUC